RNAcentral lists this ribosomal RNA (778 nucleotides) under uncultured Neocallimastigales. RNAcentral's name for it is "partial large subunit ribosomal RNA". It matches the Rfam family "Eukaryotic large subunit ribosomal RNA", at positions 26 to 605 of the family's 3401-position model. Lineage: Eukaryota; Fungi; Neocallimastigomycota; Neocallimastigomycetes; Neocallimastigales. The record is from RNAcentral.
CGCAUCUGUGCAUGCAGCAUAUCAAUAAGCGGAGGAAAAGAAACUAACAAGGAUUCCCUUAGUAACGGCGAGUGAAGCGGGAAGAGCUCAAAUUUGAAAUCUUCAAGGUUUUACCUUGACGAAUUGUAGUUUAAAGAAGUGUUUUCUGUUGAAGUUUUGGUAAAAGUUCUUUGGAAUAGGACAUCAUAGAGGGUGAGAAUCCCGUAUUUGACCAUUAUUUUCAGCUGUGUGAUACGCUUUCAAAGAGUCGGAUUGUUUGGGAAUGCAGUCCAAAAUGGGUGGUAAAUUUCAUCUAAAGCUAAAUAUUGGCGAGAGACCGAUAGCGAACAAGUACCGUGAGGGAAAGAUGAAAAGAACUUUGAAAAGAGAGUUAAACAGUACGUGAAAUUGUCAAAAGGGAAGCGUUUGACACCAGUGUUGUUUUCUCGAAAAUCAAUUAAAAAGAGUUAGAUUUUGUUGUGUAUUGACCUUAACAGCUUGCAUUCACUCUUUCUCUGCUUUUUUUAAUGCACUUUUCGUUUAACAAGUCAACAUCAGUUUCUUUUGUUGUAAAAGGUCAUUGGAAGGUGGCUUUCUUUUCGGAGAAAGUGUUUAUAGCCUUUGACUCCUGCAAUCGGAGAGACUGAGGUCUGCAGCGUAGAUCCUUCGGGAUUAGAUUACAUUUGUGCUAAGUUACUAGCCUUUUAUAGACAACUUGUUGACUAUGAUUCGAUCCUGUAGCUUACUCGCUUAUGCUACUUUACCUACGCUUAGGAUGUUGACAGCACGCGCGUGCUCG